Candidatus Pacearchaeota archaeon CG1_02_32_21 is the source of this 111-nucleotide non-coding RNA. Lineage: Archaea; Nanobdellati. The record is from Rfam.
UUAGACAGCCACAGUAGUCAGGCUCCACCUGUUCCCAUUCCGAACACAGAAGUUAAGCUGAUUACGUCUGACAUUAGUUUCGCAAGAAGUGAAAAUCAGAUGCUGUCACCU